AUUAUUAAGUCUCUUUAUCAAAUGCAUCACAGAAUCAGCCAACUACACAUCCUCUCUGACUCAUAGUUUUCAUAUUUGUAUAGGAGGGAUAGUGGCAUUGCUUAUAACAGAAUGAAAAGUGUCUAUUAAGCCGAGAUCUCUUAUCAUGUCUGAACUGUGAGUUUGAUGUUGCCUUUUCUUGGACGACUUAAGAGAAUGAAGAAGCACAUGCACUUCUGCCUGAGGCUUCCCAUGGCUGGGGCUGCUGACCUUCUGCAAGGAUGCUCCUGGAUCAAAUGUUCACAAACAUCAGAUACUUCGACUUGUGAUCUGUAAGGGCAGCUUUUCCUAACCAAAGGAUCUGAACUGUCAUUGCGUCAGAGUCCAUCAAGGCAGUCAGGAGACCUUAGGAAUUAUUGCAGUCAGAAAUCAAAGCAAAUUUUGCUCUAACUUCUAGGAUAUCUUUACCUGAG
Molecule: long non-coding RNA, 452 nt
Filed under: Dromaius novaehollandiae (emu)
Lineage: Eukaryota; Metazoa; Chordata; Aves; Casuariiformes; Dromaiidae
Description: lncRNA (ENSDNVG00000006267.1)
Source: RNAcentral